UUUUAGAAUAGAGCGAAAUGUUUUAAAGCAUUAUACCUAUGCACGAUAAAACAUACGGAAUUUGUUUAUGUCGAAAACAUCUGAACUCUUGACGUAUCAGUAAAUUUACAACAUGCAUACCAAUAUAGGAAAUUCAAAUAUUGACGUGAAAGUGGAGAAUAUCCGAGAACUUGCGAUAUUGAUUACUGCGGAGGAUCAAUAGCCAUUAUGAUGCGGUGGUUGAUGGUCGUUGACAGUGAGUCAUAAGGGAUUUACGAGGCGGUAUAAACUACAGAACUUCUGUG
Molecule: long non-coding RNA, 284 nt
Organism: Bombus pascuorum
Lineage: Eukaryota; Metazoa; Arthropoda; Insecta; Hymenoptera; Apidae
Exons: 2
Source: RefSeq, a predicted model, not a curated record